UGGUUGAGAAAUUUCAUGAUGAUUUGACUAUGGGAGGACACCCAGGUCAAAAACGUUUAUUAGCUAAGUUGAGACAAUAUUAUUUAUGGAAGGGAAUGUCACGCGAUGUAGCUCGAUAUGUAAAACAGUGUGAAAAAUGUUUAUUGAACAAAAUCAAAUAUUUGGGGUCGUCAGCAUUUUCGCCAAUAACAGUAAAUUCCACCGAUAACAGUAACACUAACAGUAAUGACCGUCACCAAAAAAUCGUCAAUUGUGAAUGCAUCUGAAUGGUUGAAUGAAUUUUCUAUUUAUUUUGUGAUAAUUAUUUAAAGAAUGGGGUUGGACCACUAUUUUAUUAUUGCAACAUGUAAAACUGAUCAUUGGGAAACUAGCGACAUUGAGCUGGAAAAAAUCAAUUCAGUAUAUAACGAAAGAUUGAGCGACCAACAUCCAUCAUUGCACAACAAACACAUGGUUAACCUGCAAAUUGAACAUUACAAAUUUAUUUUGUGAUUAAUGCUCUGAAAACUGGAUCGGAUCAAAAUUUUAUUCAUGAAAUUCGUCAAUCUCGUUUUUAGGAAGCUAGCGACAUUGAGCUGGACAAGUUCUCAACACUUUAAAAUGCGAUAUUUAACAACAAAUAUCACCCCAAAAAUACGCCGAUGUUUUUGAACCGCAGUUGGAAAAUGUUUUUUUUAAUCAAAAAAUAUCGCAUUUUAAAGUGUUGAGAACUUGUCCAGCUCAAUGUCGCUAGCUUCCUAAAAACGAGAUUGACGAAUUUCAUGAAUAAAAUAUUGAUCCGAUCCAGUUUUCAGAGCAUUAAUCACAAAAUAAAUUUGUAAUGUUCAAUUUGCAGGUUAACCAUGUGUUUGUUGUGCAAUGAUGGAUGUUGGUCGCUCAAUCUUUCGUUA
Molecule: long non-coding RNA, 890 nt
Organism: Bradysia coprophila
Lineage: Eukaryota; Metazoa; Arthropoda; Insecta; Diptera; Sciaridae
Source: RefSeq, a predicted model, not a curated record